This is a long non-coding RNA of Impatiens glandulifera, 267 nucleotides long. RefSeq lists it as uncharacterized. The record is from RefSeq and is a predicted model, not a curated record. Lineage: Eukaryota; Viridiplantae; Streptophyta; Magnoliopsida; Ericales; Balsaminaceae. The transcript has 3 exons.
CAAACCUUGUUUAUUGUGCAUUACUUCAAGGAUCUCUUUGCUGCUGGAUAUUUGAAACGAGAUAAUAAUAAGGCUGAUGAGAUUAAUGAUAUAAAACAAGAAUUGAAGAAGAUGGUUGUUAACUAAGAAAAGAUGCAAGCACAAAUAAAUAAAUUGUAAUCUUUGUUGGCUGACAAAGGGAGCCUUCGAGACAUCUUCCACUUUGUGCAGAAAUGAAUCUACUUAAGGAAUUGAGUGUGACAUGGCGUGUGGAUUUAUACUCAGAAU